Molecule: ribosomal RNA, 1488 nt
Filed under: Salmonella enterica subsp. enterica serovar Hadar
Lineage: Bacteria; Pseudomonadati; Pseudomonadota; Gammaproteobacteria; Enterobacterales; Enterobacteriaceae
Description: partial 23S ribosomal RNA
Rfam family: Bacterial large subunit ribosomal RNA
Source: RNAcentral
GGGUUGUGAGGUUAAGCGACUAAGCGUACACGGUGGAUGCCCUGGCAGUCAGAGGCGAUGAAGGGCGUGCUAAUCUGCGAUAAGCGCCGGUAAGGUGAUAUGAACCGUUAUAACCGGCGAUACCCGAAUGGGGAAACCCAGUGUGAUUCGUCACACUAUCAUUAACUGAAUCCAUAGGUUAAUGAGGCGAACCGGGGGAACUGAAACAUCUAAGUACCCCGAGGAAAAGAAAUCAACCGAGAUUCCCCCAGUAGCGGCGAGCGAACGGGGAGGAGCCCAGAGCCUGAAUCAGCAUGUGUGUUAGUGGAAGCGUCUGGAAAGGCGCGCGAUACAGGGUGACAGCCCCGUACACAAAAGCGCAUGUGCUGUGAGCUCGAUGAGUAGGGCGGGACACGUGGUAUCCUGUCUGAAUAUGGGGGGACCAUCCUCCAAGGCUAAAUACUCCUGACUGACCGAUAGUGAACCAGUACCGUGAGGGAAAGGCGAAAAGAACCCCGGCGAGGGGAGUGAAAAAGAACCUGAAACCGUGUACGUACAAGCAGUGGGAGCACCCUUUGGGGUGUGACUGCGUACCUUUUGUAUAAUGGGUCAGCGACUUAUAUUCUGUAGCAAGGUUAACCGUAUAGGGGAGCCGUAGGGAAACCGAGUCUUAACCGGGCGUUAAGUUGCAGGGUAUAGACCCGAAACCCGGUGAUCUAGCCAUGGGCAGGUUGAAGGUUGGGUAACACUAACUGGAGGACCGAACCGACUAAUGUUGAAAAAUUAGCGGAUGACCUGUGGCUGGGGGUGAAAGGCCAAUCAAACCGGGAGAUAGCUGGUUCUCCCCGAAAGCUAUUUAGGUAGCGCCUCGUGAAUUCAUCUCCGGGGGUAGAGCACUGUUUCGGCUAGGGGGCCAUCCCGGCUUACCAACCCGAUGCAAACUGCGAAUACCGGAGAAUGUUAUCACGGGAGACACACGGCGGGUGCUAACGUCCGUCGUGAAGAGGGAAACAACCCAGACCGCCAGCUAAGGUCCCAAAGUCAUGGUUAAGUGGGAAACGAUGUGGGAAGGCCCAGACAGCCAGGAUGUUGGCUUAGAAGCAGCCAUCAUUUAAAGAAAGCGUAAUAGCUCACUGGUCGAGUCGGCCUGCGCGGAAGAUGUAACGGGGCUAAACCAUGCACCGAAGCUGCGGCAGCGACGCUUAUGCGUUGUUGGGUAGGGGAGCGUUCUGUAAGCCUGUGAAGGUGGCCUGUGAGGGUUGCUGGAGGUAUCAGAAGUGCGAAUGCUGACAUAAGUAACGAUAAAGCGGGUGAAAAGCCCGCUCGCCGGAAGACCAAGGGUUCCUGUCCAACGUUAAUCGGGGCAGGGUGAGUCGACCCCUAAGGCGAGGCCGAAAGGCGUAGUCGAUGGGAAACGGGUUAAUAUUCCCGUACUUGGUGUUACUGCGAAGGGGGGACGGAGAAGGCUAUGUUGGCCGGGCGACGGUUGUCCCGGUUUAAGCGUGUAGG